Molecule: ribosomal RNA, 389 nt
Filed under: uncultured bacterium
Lineage: Bacteria
Description: bacterial SSU rRNA
Rfam family: Bacterial small subunit ribosomal RNA
Source: RNAcentral
AACGAACGCUGGCGGCGCGCCUAACACAUGCAAGUCGAACGAGAAGGCGUAGCAAUACGCUUGUAAAGUGGCGAACGGGUGAGGAAUACGUGGGUAACCUACCCUCGAGUGGGGAAUAACCAACCGAAAGGUUGGCUAAUGCCGCGUACGCUUCCACCUUUUCGGAGGUGGAAGGAAAGCUGUACCGUGGGUACAGCGCUCAAGGAUGGGCUCACGUCCUAUCAGCUUGUUGGUAGGGUAACGGCCUACCAAGGCAACGACGGGUAGCUGGUCUGAGAGGACGAUCAGCCACACUGGCACUGCGACACGGGGCCAGACUCCUACGGGAGGCAGCAGUGAGGAAUAUUGCGCAAUGGGCGAAAGCCUGACGCAGCGACGCCGCGUGGGGA